This 253-nucleotide ribosomal RNA is filed under the name uncultured bacterium. RNAcentral's name for it is "partial 16S ribosomal RNA". It matches the Rfam family "Bacterial small subunit ribosomal RNA", at positions 524 to 776 of the family's 1533-position model. The record is from RNAcentral.
UACGGAGGGUGCGAGCGUUGUUCGGAAUCACUGGGCGUAAAGCGCGUGUAGGCGGCCUCCUAAGUCCGAUGUGAAAGCCCGGGGCUCACCCCCGGAAGUGCAUCGAAUACUGGGAGACUCGAGUACCGGAGAGGAAGGUGGAAUUCCUGGUGUAGCGGUGAAAUGCGUAGAUAUCAGGAGGAACACCGGUGGCGAAGGCGGCCUUCUGGACGGAUACUGACGCUGAGACGCGAAAGCGUGGGGAGCAAACAGG